This 430-nucleotide ribosomal RNA is filed under the name Pseudomonadota bacterium. Its description in RNAcentral is "Proteobacteria bacterium partial 16S ribosomal RNA". It matches the Rfam family "Bacterial small subunit ribosomal RNA", at positions 355 to 776 of the family's 1533-position model. Lineage: Bacteria; Pseudomonadati; Pseudomonadota. The record is from RNAcentral.
UGGGGAAUAUUGGACAAUGGGGGGAACCCUGAUCCAGCCAUGCCGCGUGUGUGAAGAAGGCCUUAUGGUUGUAAAGCACUUUAAGCGAGGAGGAGGGUACUGGUAUUAAUACUACCAGGUACUGGACGUUACUCGCAGAAUAAGCACCGGCUAACUCUGUGCCAGCAGCCGCGGUAAUACAGAGGGUGCGAGCGUUAAUCGGAUUUACUGGGCGUAAAGCGCGCGUAGGUGGUUCGUUAAGUUGAAUGUGAAAGCCCCGGGCUCAACCUGGGAACUGCAUCCAAAACUGGCGAGCUAGAGUAGGGCAGAGGGUGGUGGAAUUUCCUGUGUAGCGGUGAAAUGCGUAGAUAUAGGAAGGAACACCAGUGGCGAAGGCGACCACCUGGGCUCAUACUGACACUGAGGUGCGAAAGCAUGGGGAGCAAACAGG